This 497-nucleotide ribosomal RNA is filed under the name uncultured bacterium. Its description in RNAcentral is "partial 16S ribosomal RNA". It matches the Rfam family "Bacterial small subunit ribosomal RNA", at positions 28 to 507 of the family's 1533-position model. The record is from RNAcentral.
GAUGAACGCUGGCGGCGUGCCUAAUACAUGCAAGUCGAGCGAACGGACGAGAAGCUUGCUUCUCUGAUGUUAGCGGCGGACGGGUGAGUAACACGUGGAUAACCUCCCUAUCAGACUGGGAUAACUUCGGGAAACCGGAGCUUAUACCGGAUAAUAUUUUGAACCGCAUGGUUCAAUAGUGAAAGACGGUCUUCCUGUCACUUAUAGAUGCAUCCGCGCUGCAUUAGCUAGUUGGUAAGGUAACGGCUUACCAAGGCAACGAUGCAUAGCCGACCUGAGAGAGUGAUCGGCCACACUGGAGCGGAGACGCGGUCCAGACGACUAAGGGAGGCAGCAGUAGGGAACGGUCCGCAGUGGGCGAAAGCAUGACGGAGCAACGGCGCGUGAGUGGUGAAGGUCUUCGGAGCGUAAAAAUCGGUUAUGAGGGAAGAACAUAUGUGUAAAGAAAAGUACAGAAAGUGACGGUACCUAAACAGAAAGCCACGGCUAACUACGUG